This 410-nucleotide long non-coding RNA is filed under the name Bos taurus (domestic cattle). RNAcentral describes it as "long non-coding RNA NONBTAT015930". Lineage: Eukaryota; Metazoa; Chordata; Mammalia; Artiodactyla; Bovidae. The record is from RNAcentral.
AAUAUUCUACCCAGCAUUUUGAUGUCUGCUUUUAUUUUGUUGCCCUUGUGUAAAGUUGGAUUGCUUGAGGUUCUAUUAUUAUUAAGAAGAUUCUACCUGCAGUGCUGAUAGUACCAUGAAAUGAUGGUGUGAACUCUAGAGGAAAAAAUACACAGUAUGUAUAUUACUAUUACCAGAAUCCUCAGACUCUGGUAGGGAAACGAUUCUCUCCUUAAUAUUAUUAAAGGACUUGAAUUAUUCUGUCACAUAUACUGCCAAGCUGUUAUAACAUAAAUAGCUUUCAGUUAUUCAACAUGUAGCGAUCAAGUGACCAUAUUUUGCAAAAUAGAGGAGGAAGAUUUAGUAUAAGCCCCACUUAAUUUUCUAUAUCUUCUAAGCCCUAGUAGUAACAACUUAAAAGGAGUAUUACU